This 403-nucleotide ribosomal RNA is filed under the name bacterium. RNAcentral's name for it is "partial 16S ribosomal RNA". It matches the Rfam family "Bacterial small subunit ribosomal RNA", at positions 355 to 776 of the family's 1533-position model. The record is from RNAcentral.
UGGGGAAUAUUGCACAAUGGAGGGAACUCUGAUGCAGCGACGCCGCGUGAACGAAGAAGGCUUUCGAUUCGUAAAGUUCUUUUAUAUGGGAAGAUAAUGACGGUACCAUAAGAAAAAGCCCCGGCUAACUACGUGCCAGCAGCCGCGGUAAUACGUAGGAGGCUAGCGUUGUCCGGAAUCACUGGGCGUAAAGGGUUCGCAGGCGGAAAUGCAAGUCAGGUGUAAAAGGCAGUAGCUUAACUACUGUAAGCAUUUGAAACUGCAUAUCUUGAGAAGAGUAGAGGUAAGUGGAAUUUUUAGUGUAGCGGUGAAAUGCGUAGAUAUUAAAAAGAAUACCGGUGGCGAAGGCGACUUACUGGGCUCAUUCUGACGCUGAGGAACGAAAGCGUAGGUAGCAAACAGG